AGAGUUGCGCCGGGUCCCUGAGGCGAUUGGCUGAGCGCGGUGGAACCAGUCUUCUCAGCUGCCUCUCGGAGGCUGGCGGUUCCCCUCGGCUUCUGUGGAACCCCGCUUCCAAGUCCCCAGUGGACACAGCAUCCCGGAACCUCUACGCCCAAGGCCACUAGCUUGAGGACGCCCGCUUUCACCUCAUAUUCUUCCGCCUCAACAGACACAAGAGGAGGGAGUGCGCGGCACUUGUGAAGAUGCUUCUAUGUGCAAAGAGGUGCCUUUGCGGCGCGGGGCCAUGGCCCAGUGUCCCCACGGGGUUGGGGCCUCGGUGGGAGGCGGGCCUGUGUCUCAGGAACACGCUCCUUCGCCAAAAGGAGCUGGCAUGUCACAGGAGGUGUGGAGGACACCCAAGACUGUGCCUCGCUCCUGGACAGCAGCCAGGGACAGCCAUGAGGAAGGACAGUCCUUGGAUUCAAAAGGGAUCCCACAGGUCCGACUGUGGCACAGGCUGCCCAAGGAUAUUUUGCUCGAGUCCAUGGCAUCUCUCAGCUGAUAAAAGCAUUUCUACAGAAGAAAGAAUGUUAUUGUCAAAUUCUAAAUCUUGGGACUCAGAUGGAGACCACCUUCUGGAGAUUAAAGGUGACAUGCCCAGAGAGGAUGACCUUUGUGAUUGGUGGACACAGAUGACACAGGAAACAUCAGACAACCGGACAGGUCUCUAUGCAACCACAGUGCCAUACUCGUGCUCCUAGUGAAGAAACUCCCCCAGAAAAGAAUAUCUCCCCCAUCCUUUGUUUCCCUCCUAUGAAUUGCACAUCUUCUGGUCCUGCACCUUAGAGUUUCUGAUUUUGCCAUCAUAGUAUCUGAAGCUCAUGACCAAGAAAGAAUUUUUCAGCUGUCUCUGGUGCUGCAAAAAGGCCUCCCUCCGUCAGGAGUCCUGGGACACUUGGCAAGGUAAUCUGACUGCGCUGGACACUUUUCCACAGUAGACCAGGUUAGUUUUGUGACCUGCAGGGAUGUUCUCCUGGGUUGGUGGCCGGGACUCUGGCCUAGGCCCUUCCCUGGGCGGAGUGGAUGGCAGUGGGACUUCCUUCACGGGCCACACUUUCCGUUUCUCCAGAGAUGUGCUGGACUUUGCUGAUGUCAUCUGGGUAUAACAAAAACCAACAGACCCUCCAAACGUGAUCCUAACACUGAAGGCGGAAGUGACACAGUGGAAGAACUUGUCCCAGGGACUGAGGAACUCAGACUCAGCCGCAGUCUGGAAACUGAAGAACACCGUCAGGGACAGAACAGCAUCAGGUGAGGGAGAUGGAUGACCACAUCAGCUUGGAGUGGCGGGAUUACAGAAUAUCUCCCAGGAGCUUCCCCAGGAAAAGCGUUUGGAUGUUGGGAGCAUAACCGCCACACCCUCCAUAGCUUGGUAGCUGCCUUGACCUCUGCUGGCAUCGAGCAAUAAAGAAACACAGUCAGAGGUCAGUGCAGAGUCCCCCUUGACUCUAUCCAGUUUUCAUUUUCCCAUACUUGGGCUCACCCCGCCACGGUGAUCUGGUAGGAACUAGAUUUACCCUUGAGUUGACAAUGUUUAUGGAGUUUCUACCCAAGGCACCACAGCAGGAGCUGGAGAAAGGCGACAAGGGCUCUCUUGAGGCCUUUCGUUUACUGGAGAACAAGAACAAGUAAAUAGGCCACUGCAUCAUAGAAAACCGGGUGCUGUGUGGACUUAUGAAAAUUCCCCAGAUUGGGGCCCUCCAGUCUCUGUUGGAGCAUCAGUAGCGUCAGCGAAGGCCUUUUAGAAGCAGAGACCUUUGCCCGGAGAGCUGAAGAAUGAGUAGGUGGCAGCUACAGGGCUGGUGUGGUGAAAGGAGCUCUGGAGAAUUCCAGGGAGGGGCGAACAGGUAGGAAUCCUUGGCCUGCUCUGGAAUCCAAAAGCAGGGCAUCUAUGGCUGAAAUGGAAGUAUAAAGAGAGAAGCUAUUUCAGAGGAAGCUGGGGCCAAGGAGAGCCUGACCGGCUUGGGAGCUUGAAAAGGCUCAGAACGGGGGCUCCUGGGUAGCUCAGUCAGUUCAGCGUCUGCCUUUGGUUCAGGUCAUGAUCGCAGGGUCCUGGGAGAGGGCCCCAGGUCAAGCUGUCUGCUCCGUGGGAAGCCUGCUUCCUCCUCUCCCAUUGCUUGUGUUCUCGCUCUGUCAAAUAAAUAAAAUAAAAGCCUCAGAAGUUUGUGCCAAAAGAGCAAACACCCCUUUCCUGAUACGGUGUAUAAACAGGCCAGAACGACAAUGUGACAAAUCUGUCUUGACCCUCACCGGAUAUUGAUUUCACAAGACAUGUUACUAAGACUCCUGAGGAAUUAUCUUAGAAUUCAUUUACAGAUUCUCCAUUGAAACAUUAGCCCCCACACCUGAUGAGGGAGCAGAAGGCUAGUUGAGGUCAAGGCAGAAGCUGACACCCUGCACUCACUGUCCCCAUGCCUUGGUGGGACCUGUGUGACCUUCGUCCAGGAAACUUCCAACCAUCUUCAUGUUCAUUCCUUGCUGGAAGGUAAAACCACCUCACUUGGCCAUGGCAAGGUCUCCAGUAUCAUGUAGGUCCUCUUUAGCAUAGGAAAGUGCUUUUGAAACCCUCCCCUUCCCUUUCCUCACCUCCCCCACCUUCCAAGUGUGUAUCAGUUGCCCCCACAACCCUGAUGCAGCUAUUUCUGCCCACGGAUCCUAUCCCUGUGCUUUAAUAAAACCACUGUUUUGCACCAAAGAGGUCUCAAGAAUUCUUUCUCAUCAUCGGCUCUAGACCUCACCCCACCAAACGUCACGUACGUUCCCAAACUCUAUCACUGCUCCCCUGUCUAGCUGCCGCUUGGCAUUACUUCUGUCGUUUCUUGCAAAUGACAGUAAAGUAGGCACCGCUAGGCUUUAGGGAACAGGCUUCAACUCUGGAAACAGAAUCAGUGCACACUAAGAUCAUAGGGUGGGGUAGCAACCAAAUUAAA
This is an RNA transcript of Mustela erminea (ermine), 2966 nucleotides long. RefSeq lists it as uncharacterized. The record is from RefSeq and is a predicted model, not a curated record. NCBI's taxonomy places the organism in Eukaryota, Metazoa, Chordata, Mammalia, Carnivora, Mustelidae. The transcript has 6 exons.